Molecule: transfer RNA, 73 nt
Filed under: Pteropus alecto (black flying fox)
Lineage: Eukaryota; Metazoa; Chordata; Mammalia; Chiroptera; Pteropodidae
Rfam family: tRNA
About the family: Transfer RNA (tRNA) molecules are approximately 80 nucleotides in length. Their secondary structure includes four short double-helical elements and three loops (D, anti-codon, and T loops).
Source: Rfam by way of RNAcentral
GGUUCCAUAGUGUAACGGUUAACAUGUCUGCUUUGCACGCAGAAGGUUCUGUGUUCAUGCCCCUGUGGAGCCA